AAAGUCGUAACAAGGUUUUCGUAGGUGAACCUGCGGAAGGAUCAUUAGUGAAACACAAGAGCGCUCUUCAUUGAGGCUCGUUUUAUCUAUCCAUUACACUUUGUGCAUUUGAAACUUGACACUUUAGUCUCCGGACUUUAGUAUCUCUAUAUUAUAACCCCUUUGAAUUUUUAAUUGUUUGAUGAUGAUGUAUAAACCUUGAAAUGAAGGAAACAACUUUCAGCAACGGAUUUCUUGGCUCUC
RNAcentral lists this unclassified non-coding RNA (243 nucleotides) under Basidiomycota sp. RNAcentral's name for it is "partial contains small subunit ribosomal RNA, internal transcribed spacer 1, and 5.8S ribosomal RNA". The stretch from base 1 to 47 matches the Rfam family "Eukaryotic small subunit ribosomal RNA", at positions 1785 to 1831 of the family's 1831-position model. The record is from RNAcentral. Lineage: Eukaryota; Fungi; Basidiomycota.